UAAGUUGGUUGUUUGAAAGUAAAUUUUGAUUUUUUUUUCAUUACCAUUUUGCCUAAGUGGCCUCGGAUUUUUAGAGUAAAGAAUAAUGAAAUUUAACAAAAAGUUACGUGCGAUUAUAGUAAGUGUAGUAAGCGUGAACUUGUUUUUUAGUCUCAUAGAAUGUACUUCCUCGAAAUAUCAAGAAUUCGAUAUAGUUCCAGAAAUAAUACCAACUGCACCGAAACAACUUCUGCAGAUAACUUACCAAAAUAAAUUCCAAGCACACUUGGGGAAUGCACUUUCGCCUGCAGUGUUGGUUAAACCGCCAGAUGUAAAAUGGAAAGCAAACCCGAAAAAGUUUUAUUUGUUGACAAUGAUCGAUGCUAAUUUUCCGACGGGAUUGUUUCCUCAGUUUUUUCACUGGAUUGUAGGAAAUAUUCCUGGAAAUGAUUUAACUAAUGGUGAAGUCCUUGCAAGCUACUUUUUACCUACGCCACUUUAUGGAACUGGAUUACAUCGAUAUGUAUUUUUCAUUUUUGAGCAGCCAAAGAAACUUGAUUAUACCAAAAAUUUGUUUUUGCUACGCUUGUAUCCGAGUCUUCGGACAGCAUUGAAGUUUUACAACAUUGAUAGCCAUCCACUUUCCGGAAACUUUUUCGUCUCGGAGAUGAUUGUUUGAUUAUGGAUGUAUGCGUUUUCGAUCACGCACAUAUCAUGCAUUAAUCUACCCAUUAAAUACCUAAUAUCUACGCAUAUACUUAGGCAGGUAAUUCCACAAAAAUAAAAACCUCACAUGUAACUUUGUAAGUGCUUAAUGUAUUAUGUAAUAUGAACUAUACACCUAUCUUCUACCUAUAGAAAAUUACAUACUGAUGAUGAUUU
Planococcus citri (citrus mealybug) is the source of this 861-nucleotide long non-coding RNA. RefSeq lists it as uncharacterized. The record is from RefSeq and is a predicted model, not a curated record. The transcript is spliced from 6 exons. NCBI's taxonomy places the organism in Eukaryota, Metazoa, Arthropoda, Insecta, Hemiptera, Pseudococcidae.